GAGAGUUGGUUAGUCAGUACGAGCGCAACCCUAUCCUUAUUUGCCAGCGCAUAAUGGCGGGAACUAUAAGGAGACUGCCGGUCAUAAACCGGAGGAAGGCGGGGACGACGUCAAGUCAUCAUGGCCCUUAUGGGUAGGGCUACACACGUGAUACAAUGGGUGGUACAGAGGGUCGCCAAAGCGCGAGCUGGAGCCAAACCCUUAAAACCAUUCUUAGUCCGGAUUGGAGUCUGCAACUCGACUCCAUGAAGUUGGAAUCGCUAGUAAUCGCGAAUCAGAAUGUCGCGGUGAAUACGUUCUCGGGCCUUGUACACACCGCCCGUCACGUCAUGGAAGUGGGUUGCACCAGAAGUGGCUUGUUUAACCUUCGGGAAAACGGUCACCACGGUGUGAUUCACAACUGGGACGAAGUCGUAACAAGGUAGCCCUAGGGGAACCUGGGGCUGGAUCACCUCCUU
Molecule: ribosomal RNA, 458 nt
Filed under: uncultured marine bacterium 311
Lineage: Bacteria
Description: bacterial SSU rRNA
Rfam family: Bacterial small subunit ribosomal RNA
Source: RNAcentral